CCUCCCGUUAUCCAUUUCUAAAAUUGUGGAACUUCUUCACUUCUAAAUUAAUUGUAGUGCUUCUGGCUUCAUUUGAAUGUUGUACAGGUAAAAUAGUGUGUCCUGUUGUUUGAGAUUCUUUAUUCAUAUUGACAGUUUAUUUAUGACCUUUAUUCAUGGUCUAAAUUAUGCGUUCAGCUAUCUUAAUUUCAUGAAACAAUAACGAAUUUGUUAAUUAUUACUCGGGACACGGUUAAGAAAUUAAAAGUUCAACACACACACACACACACACACGAGCUUCCUCAUGGUCGACGUGCGGCCUCUCUCCAGAACCUUCUUGAGCCCCUCAAGCGCCGCUUCCUGCUCCUUUAUAUCCCCGUCGAUCGCCCUCAUCAGCCCACCAUGCUCUCUUGAACCGAAGCCAUUGCCUCCGCCCUCUUUGUCUGGUUCCUCGUUCUAAACACCCUCUCCCUCUGCUCUGCCGUUAGCUCCCUAACGGCGCUGUCUACUAAACGGAGAAUCAGAGAGGCCUUGUACGCUCAGAAGCUGUUUGAGCAAAUUCUCUUGACGCGCAAGUCACCCCGAAGGAUUUCUCGACAUUCUCUUGGGGCGUGCUUGCCAACAUUGACAUUGUGUUUAGUGUAUCCGUGGUGUGUUUGUUGUUGGGUUUGAAUGUGCCAAUUUAUAUACUGUGGAUUACGAAAGCGUCUUGUCUUUUUUUUAUUAGGGAUAAGCUAAGGUGAUUUGGAG
RNAcentral lists this long non-coding RNA (729 nucleotides) under Glycine max (soybean). Its description in RNAcentral is "long non-coding RNA (GMAX_LNC000771)". The record is from RNAcentral. Lineage: Eukaryota; Viridiplantae; Streptophyta; Magnoliopsida; Fabales; Fabaceae.